GGGAGAGAGAGCCUGGCUGCCGCGGCGGGUGUGUCGGCGACGACCACCUGUUCAACGUCGUGUAUCCCUCUGGGAUACACCACGCACGCGAGGAAAGUCCCCCCACCUGUUCGGGCAGGUGACCGGACGCAAGUCCGGAGCGGGAGACCGCUGGCUCUGGAACAGAAACGACACGUCUCGGCCCGACCGAUGAUGCGUGCGAACCCGACCGAGAGGAAGGGGAGUUGACCCGCAGAGGGCGCGACUCUCACGUGAGAGUCGCCGACAGGGAAACGGCGUCAGCCGUAGACCGCGUGGUCGUAAAGCGCCCACGUUAUGCGAGGCGGUGUACCCGCCAAGCAGUGUGUGGUUGUCGAACCGUGGUUCGAACCCACGGGUCGCGCGUACGGAUCACCCUCGAUCCGUGCCCGGCGCGACCGACCGUACACAGACGGCCGAGGAUCGAUGGAACGGCGAACCCUCACCGGUGCAAGUCCGUGCCGUGGUAGCCCGAACGCCCCGCGGUUUCCGCGGACGGCACGGACGCUCAGCCGAAUGCCGGGACGAACAGAAGGGGGCUUACUCCUCUCACCU
This 573-nucleotide RNase P RNA is filed under the name Natronolimnohabitans sp. A-GB9. Its description in RNAcentral is "RNase P RNA component". It matches the Rfam family "Archaeal RNase P". Rfam says of the family: Ribonuclease P (RNase P) is a ubiquitous endoribonuclease, found in archaea, bacteria and eukarya as well as chloroplasts and mitochondria. Its best characterised activity is the generation of mature 5'-ends of tRNAs by cleaving the 5'-leader elements of precursor-tRNAs. Lineage: Archaea; Methanobacteriati; Methanobacteriota; Halobacteria; Halobacteriales; Natrialbaceae. The record is from RNAcentral.